GAUGAACGCUGGCGGCGUGCCUAAUACAUGCAAGUCGAACGCAUUGAGAGAAGUGCUUGCACUUUUCAAUUCGAGUGGCGAACGGGUGAGUAACACGUGGGCAACCUACCUGAUAGCGGGGGAUAACGAGUGGAAACAUUCGCUAAUACCGCAUAACAAUAGAGAAGGCAUCUUCUUUAUUUAAAAGGCGCUUUCAAGCGUCACUAUCAGAUGGGCCCGCGGUGCAUUAGUUAGUUGGUGGGGUGAAGGCCUACCAAGACGAUGAUGCAUAGCCGAGUUGAGAGACGGAGCGGCCACAUUGGGACUGAGACACGGCCCAAACGCCUACGGGAGGCUGCAGUAGGGAAUCUUCCACAAUGGACGAAAGUCUGAUGGAGCAACGCCGCGUGUGUGAUGAAGGCUUUCGGGUCGUAAAGCACUGUUGUAUGGGAAGAAAUGCUAGGCUAGGAAAUGAGCUUAGUUUGACGGUACCAUACCAGAAAGGGACGGCUAAAUACGUGCCAGCCGCCGCCGUAA
Molecule: ribosomal RNA, 516 nt
Filed under: uncultured bacterium
Lineage: Bacteria
Description: partial 16S ribosomal RNA
Rfam family: Bacterial small subunit ribosomal RNA
Source: RNAcentral